This is a non-coding RNA of Osmia lignaria (orchard mason bee), 942 nucleotides long. The record is from RefSeq and is a predicted model, not a curated record. Lineage: Eukaryota; Metazoa; Arthropoda; Insecta; Hymenoptera; Megachilidae.
UUCGGUGGUGGCAAUGGCGGCGAGGAGAAUAGUGUGGCCGGACCAUAGGAGAGGGGUGGUAUUAUAUUUGCGCAGGGUCGCCCGAUAGGGCGCAGUAUCGUCGCGACCGCCGUCACGUGCACGUCGAUUUUCUCUAGGUUUACGUGUCUAGACCGCGAGUGCUUCUGCACCGUUCAGAACGUUGCUUGCCCUCUUUGUCGGUCGUAGUUUAUAUUCGGCUUCCUUCUUCCUCUCUUUUAUCUUCUCCUUACUACUGCCUUACAUCUCUCUACAUCUUUAUUGUAUUCACUCUCGAUCUCUCUGUUUGUUUUUUUUUAUCUCUCGUUCCCUAAACCUCUGCCUAUACGUUCCAUGCGUAUCUGCACUCCUGUUCUUUUUUAAUCGUUCGCGCGCGAUCGUCCUGCAAACCGUGUUUCGUACUUCAUGUUUCGUUAGCCGAGUUCAUACGGCUGAACCGUACACAACAACAACAACAACAACAACAACAAGAACAACAACAGAUACCGUGAGUCGAAGCGAGUCAUCGAGCAGAAAUCGCGAAGUGUUCUGGCCCAAGAGUGGAACCAUUUAAACAGUAGAGAAUUCAUUAACGUCUGAAGCGAUUGUAUAACUGCAAAGAAAUCGUUAAUGUUGUCCACAUUAAAUUCGAGAGGAUUUGCAAGGAAACGUGCAAAUUCUUAAAAGGAGAAAGAAAAACGGACGGUAAGAGGAAUAAAGGAGGCGAAAACUAUCCUAGUAAUCCCAUUGGAUAGAGGUCAAUGGAGCCAUCCUGAUGCAGGCUGCAAAACUACGUGGGGAUUACCCGUCGUGGUCGUCGGGCUGAUUUCAAAGGUGAACAGUGGUGCUUCCACCCGUGGGUAGAAACACCGUUUUCAUCACCGUCACCGGCAAAUAGUGCAGCCACUUCCGCUUCCUCCACCCCACGUGGCCGAACCAUUACCU